This 200-nucleotide ribosomal RNA is filed under the name uncultured bacterium. RNAcentral's name for it is "partial 16S ribosomal RNA". It matches the Rfam family "Bacterial small subunit ribosomal RNA", at positions 131 to 334 of the family's 1533-position model. The record is from RNAcentral.
CGAUGGAGGGGGAUAACUACUGGAAACGGUAGCUAAUACCGCAUAACGUCGCAAGACCAAAGAGGGGGACCUUCGGGCCUCUUGCCAUCGGAUGUGCCCAGAUGGGAUUAGCUAGUAGGUGGGUAACGGCUCACCUAGGCGACGAUCCCUAGCUGGUCUGAGAGGAUGACCAGCCACACUGGAACUGAGACACGGUCCAG